Molecule: ribosomal RNA, 628 nt
Filed under: Salmonella enterica
Lineage: Bacteria; Pseudomonadati; Pseudomonadota; Gammaproteobacteria; Enterobacterales; Enterobacteriaceae
Also listed under: 1 other name
Description: partial 23S ribosomal RNA
Rfam family: Bacterial large subunit ribosomal RNA
Source: RNAcentral
UGGUGGGUAGUUUGACUGGGGCGGUCUCCUCCUAAAGAGUAACGGAGGAGCACGAAGGUUGGCUAAUCCUGGUCGGACAUCAGGAGGUUAGUGCAAUGGCAUAAGCCAGCUUGACUGCGAGCGUGACGGCGCGAGCAGGUGCGAAAGCAGGUCAUAGUGAUCCGGUGGUUCUGAAUGGAAGGGCCAUCGCUCAACGGAUAAAAGGUACUCCGGGGAUAACAGGCUGAUACCGCCCAAGAGUUCAUAUCGACGGCGGUGUUUGGCACCUCGAUGUCGGCUCAUCACAUCCUGGGGCUGAAGUAGGUCCCAAGGGUAUGGCUGUUCGCCAUUUAAAGUGGUACGCGAGCUGGGUUUAGAACGUCGUGAGACAGUUCGGUCCCUAUCUGCCGUGGGCGCUGGAGAACUGAGGGGGGCUGCUCCUAGUACGAGAGGACCGGAGUGGACGCAUCACUGGUGUUCGGGUUGUCAUGCCAAUGGCACUGCCCGGUAGCUAAAUGCGGAAGAGAUAAGUGCUGAAAGCAUCUAAGCACGAAACUUGCCCCGAGAUGAGUUCUCCCUGAGACUUUAGGUCUCCUGAAGGAACGUUGAAGACGACGACGUUGAUAGGCCGGGUGUGUAAGCGCAGCGA